UUGCUGUUGAAAGAGUUCUAAUCAACACACGACCCGCAUGUACCAGCAAAUCACAGAAGACUUCAUUGUGAUUACAGAACAGAAUGGAAACAUCACCCACCUUGACAAUGGCCAGAUAAAGGGGGAGAUGAGAGACUGAAAAGGGAUCUCCAAGCUUCAGGAUUAUGCUUACAUCAUCACAGCUUCCAAGAAUACUUCUGAGGAAAUACUGCAGGCGCACCUGGUUCAUCCUGUACGCACAUCCCACCUUGCUUAGGACCUCCAGCCCCUUGCAGUCUUCAUCCUCCCAGGGCAGCUGUGGUUACCAUGCUUGUUUUCCUGCUCUACCCUCAGGUAGUGAUGAAGGAAUGAGGAGGACAGGUCCCCUGGCCAGUUGGCCACAAAUUAAAAAUCUUUAUACUGUAGGGGGAAAGGGGAUUAUAAAGCAUCAUAUAUGAUCUCAUUUGUUAAAAAAAAGAAAAACAAUUUUAAAUAAAAAGCAAAUAUGUG
Long non-coding RNA from Camelus dromedarius (Arabian camel), 489 nucleotides. RefSeq lists it as uncharacterized. Lineage: Eukaryota; Metazoa; Chordata; Mammalia; Artiodactyla; Camelidae. The transcript has 3 exons. The record is from RefSeq and is a predicted model, not a curated record.